UUCCCGUGUAGCGGUGAAAAUGCGUAGAUAUCGGGAAGAACAACCAGUGGCGAAGGCGCUCUGCUGGGCCAUAACUGACGCUCAUGGACGAAAGCCAGGGGAGCGAAAGGGAUUAGAUACCCCUGUAGUCCUGGCCGUAAACGAUGAACACUAGGUGUCGGGGGGAAUCGACCCCCUCGGUGUCGUAGCCAACGCGUUAAGUGUUCCGCCUGGGGAGUACGCACGCAAGUGUGAAACUCAAAGGAAUUGACGGGGGCCCGCACAAGCGGUGGAGUAUUGUGGUUUAAUUCGAUGCAACGCGAAGAACCUUACCAGGGUUUGACAUCCUGCGAACCUCUAAGAAAUUGGAGGGUGCCUUCGGGAACGCAGUGACAGGUGGUGCAUGGCUGUCGUCAGCUCGUGUCGUGAGAUGUUGGGUUAAGUCCCGCAACGAGCGCAACCCACGUUAUUAGUUGCCAGCAUUCAGUUGGGCACUCUAGAGAGACCGCCGGUGAUAAACCGGAGGAAGGUGUGGAUGACGUCAAGUCAUCAUGCCCCUUACAUCCUGGGCUACACACGUACUACAAUGCUACGGACAAAGGGCAGCAAACUCGCGAGAGCUAGCAAAUCCCAUAAACCGUGGCUCAGUUCAGAUCGUAGGCUGCAACUCGCCUACGUGAAGGAGGAAUCGCUAGUAAUCGCAGGUCAGCAUACUGCGGUGAAUACGUUCCCGGGCCUUGUACACACCGCCCGUCACACCAUGGAAGUUGGCCACGCCCGAAGUCGUUACUCCAACCCUUGUGGAGGAGGACGCCGAAGGUGGGGCUGAUGACUGGGGUGAAGUCGUAACAAGGUUUCC
This 838-nucleotide ribosomal RNA is filed under the name uncultured cyanobacterium. Its description in RNAcentral is "bacterial SSU rRNA". It matches the Rfam family "Bacterial small subunit ribosomal RNA", at positions 668 to 1501 of the family's 1533-position model. RNAcentral also lists the same sequence under 2 other names. The record is from RNAcentral. Lineage: Bacteria; Bacillati; Cyanobacteriota.